This 97-nucleotide signal recognition particle RNA is filed under the name Hydrogenophaga sp. RNAcentral describes it as "signal recognition particle sRNA small type". It matches the Rfam family "Bacterial small signal recognition particle RNA". From Rfam's summary of the family: The signal recognition particle (SRP) is a universally conserved ribonucleoprotein involved in the co-translational targeting of proteins to membranes. Archaeal SRP consists of a 7S RNA and homologues of the eukaryotic SRP19 and SRP54 proteins. In most bacteria, the SRP consists of a 4.5S RNA and the Ffh protein (a homologue of the eukaryotic SRP54 protein). Lineage: Bacteria; Pseudomonadati; Pseudomonadota; Betaproteobacteria; Burkholderiales; Comamonadaceae. RNAcentral also lists the same sequence under 1 other name. The record is from RNAcentral.
UGUCGGUCACCCCGCGGCGAUACGUUGUGAACCCCGUCAGGCCCGGAAGGGAGCAGCGGCAGCAGCGGACUCGGGUGCCGGGGACCGGCGGGCAGGG